UACGUAGGGUGCGAGCGUUAAUCGGAUUCACUGGGUUUAAAGGGUGCGUAGGUGGGUUGGUAAGUCAGUGGUGAAAUCCCCGAGCUUAACUUGGGAACUGCCAUUGAUACUAUUUGUCUUGAAUACUGUGGAGGUCAGCGGAAUAUGUCAUGUAGCGGUGAAAUGCUUAGAUAUGACAUAGAACACCAAUUGCGAAGGCAGCUGGCUACACAAAUAUUGACACUGAGGCACGAAAGCGUGGGGAUCAAACAGG
Molecule: ribosomal RNA, 253 nt
Filed under: uncultured bacterium
Lineage: Bacteria
Description: partial 16S ribosomal RNA
Rfam family: Bacterial small subunit ribosomal RNA
Source: RNAcentral